GAAACCUAGAAGGAAAUUAGUAGCCAAAUAAUCAGACUUCCUGACUUUAUUAUUACCUUUGUGGCCAAGGCAAGUCAUUUUCAGCAUUAAUUACAAGCAGAGAGGGAAUGGGCCAGCUAUCUUGUCUCAAACUCUGCGAUGUUUUGUUUUUGUUCUGUUUUUUUUUUUUUUCUUCCUGCACUGGCGCUGGGGUGGGGAUGUGAACAGAGCCAAGAAAGAACAGACAAAACAGCCCCUCUCUGGAUAAAUCUUUGCAUCUCCUGACUAGCAGGACAGAGGAGUCCCAGCCGAGCAGACCUCCUUUUAUUAAAACCGGAGUGUUUUCCAUCAUUUGGCCUUUACAUGUUCCACGUUUCAUUUGCUGAAAUUACUGGCAGGUUUAUCUGCAACAAAGACAGAAAGAGAGCAAGAGGCAGCAGCCCAGUUCUGAAACACCCCUCUGAGAAGCCCAGCUCGGACGUGCGAAGCAGACGGUGGUGGCUUUUCCACCCUCAUCUUCUCCCUGGUGGUUUCUCAUCUCACAGUAGAAUUUCGUUUCCCCUAGAAACUUGGCACCGGAGGUGUCAGCCCGGGAACAUAUUUGUUUGUGUAAAUUAAAAGGAGAAUAUGUUUUGACCAUAUUUAAGUUCUAGCUGUGCUAAAGAAAUAAAUACUGAGUUGC
This 661-nucleotide long non-coding RNA is filed under the name Bos taurus (domestic cattle). Its description in RNAcentral is "long non-coding RNA NONBTAT015517". Lineage: Eukaryota; Metazoa; Chordata; Mammalia; Artiodactyla; Bovidae. The record is from RNAcentral.